Non-coding RNA from Biomphalaria pfeifferi, 263 nucleotides. The record is from the annotation of a GenBank genome assembly. Lineage: Eukaryota; Metazoa; Mollusca; Gastropoda; Planorbidae.
UCUGAGUAUUUUUUAGAUCUAGAUCUCUUAGACAUCUAAUUCUAGACUGGAGAGCUACUGUACUACUGGCCUGAUCUAAUCUAUAGAUUCUAGAAUUACUAUGAUUUUGAUGAUCUAGAUCAUGAUUGAUACUAGAUCUAGAUCUGUUCUAGAUCUAGUAGACUAAGACAGCAUUUAUAAUAAACGAGUGGACAAGACCCUAUUUAUAUUAUAUUUAUAAAUACUAGUUCUAGUAUAAUGAUUGAUUCUACAUAAUACUAAAG